This 1003-nucleotide ribosomal RNA is filed under the name uncultured bacterium. RNAcentral describes it as "bacterial SSU rRNA". It matches the Rfam family "Bacterial small subunit ribosomal RNA", at positions 8 to 1031 of the family's 1533-position model. The record is from RNAcentral.
AGAGUUUGAUCAUGGCUCAGGGUUAACGCUGGCGGCGUGCCUAACACAUGCAAGUCGAACGGUUCUAAGCGCGAGCUUAGGAUAGUGGCGAACGGGUGAGUAAAAGGUAGGAAUCUACCCCUUGGACGGAGAUAGCUACUGGAAACGGUAGGUAAACUUCGAUAAGCCCGAGAGGGGAAAGUGGUGAGACAGCCGAGGGAUGAGCCUACUCUCCAUCAGGUAGUUGGUGAGAUAAAAGCUUACCAAGCCGAUGACGGAUAACCGGUGUGAGAGCAUGAACGGUCACAAGGGCACUGAGAGACGGGCCCUACUCCUACGGGAGGCAGCAGUGGGGAAUCUUGGACAAUGGGCGAAAGCCUGAUCCAGCGACGCCGCGUGGAGGAAGAAGUCCUUCGGGAUGUAAACUUCUGAACUAGCCGAAUAAAAGGCCUGUGGACACACAGGAGAAGAAAGUAGGCUAGGAAAAGUCCCGGCUAACUACGUGCCAGCAGCCGCGGUAAGACGUAGGGGGCAAGCGUUACCCGGAAUUACUGGGCGUAAAGGGGGCGUAGGCGGUAAAAGAAGUCAUCUGUGAAAACCUAUUGCUCAACGAUAGGCUAGCGGAUGAAACUGAAUUACUUGAGGGCACCAGAGGUAGACGGAAUUACCCGAGUAGGGGUGAAAUCCGCAGAUACGGGUAGGAACGCCGGUGGAGAAGUCGGUCUACUGGGGUGCACCAGACGCUGAGGCCCGAAAGCUAGGGGAGCAAACCGGAUUAGAUACCCGGGUAGUCCUAGCCGUAAACGAUGCUCACUANGUGUAGGGAGUGAUAAACUCUCUGUGCUGAAGCGAACGCGCUAAGUGAGCCGCCUGGGGAGUACGUCCGCAAGGAUGAAACUCAAAGGAAUUGACGGGGGUCCGCACAGCGGUGGAGCAUGUGGUUUAUUCGAUGGUANNGANNNCUUACCAGGGAUUGACAUGUACUGAGGUAGAGAAUCUACUGGCCUGCUGCAAGCGGGAGGUA